CUGUAGGGGCUGAGCAGGAGCACAAAGCAUUUAACAGACGUAACAACGAUUAAAGAAGUGUUUUGGUAGUUGAAAUCAGUAGAUAUGGCUUGGAAUGUGUAUUCACGGAGUAAUAAAUGCCACUUCCGUAGUCGCUUUUCUCGCAAUAACUACCAUUGAAGAAUUGUGUCCAUUGUCAUAGAUUUAAUUGUCUAGGCUUUGGUCUGCAAUGGUAAAUGCUGAAUUCCUUGACGCUGAAGUCUUGAUUUCCCGAACUCUUCUGGGUCUUUUGGUUUAUAGGGCUGGCAGGGAAACAUGGGGAAAAUUUUAUAGUAACAAACCACCUGAAUUUUACUGGCAUUAAAAGAGGAGGUUGAAAGAUGCAGAAUUUUAAUACAGUUGGGGAGGAUUAGUUCCUGAACUACACACUGUGACAAUACAGAUUCUUUAGGUUAGUUUUGUCUAAAGGGGGUUUAAUUUUGUCUGCUGUGAGAUUACAGAAUUAGAUAAUGAUGGUUAGAUGGCAGAGUUAUAGAAAGAAAUUGAGCUCAAUGUUAGCACUUGGAUUAAGAGCCUUAUACUGCUGUUUAGUUUCCUUCUAUAAUGUGUAUUCAUGUUAUACUGUUCAUGGAAAUCCUUAUGACAUCCUUUUCAAAGAGCAAUUCGCACGCAAACAUGUAGAGAUGUUUGGGAGUUACCUAUUAAUGCAAAACCAUUAUUUUCUUAAUAAAACAUAGGACUUUCAGUCAUUCAGAAGUUCAAGUUCAAACUGUCAGUCACUUUUUUUAUUGUCUGUCUACUUCUUUGCUACAAAGUAAUUGCAUCUGCUCACCUGGUUAAAUCCCAUUUGAGCAUUUGAAUCUUGAUAUAUUUUGGUACAUGACCUGUCCUGUUGUAAAUGGCUUUGUGAAUAACAUACACUUCUCAGAAGUUUUUAGAAAUACCAUUAUUUUCCAUUCAGUGAAUAAGGCCACUGGCUCUGGGGGGAUUAUCAUUUCGUAUUUCUCUACAGGAGUCUUACAUUGGUGGAUCAACCAUUGGUAUAACUUUAGAAUUCAACUUGCAGCAACUUUAAGAAGUGUUUAACUUCUAAUAUGCAAUAUAUUAUCUGUAGAGGAAUGCUACCAAUUUAGUCAACUAAAAUUUAAAAGUGAAAGAUUUGGAUGCCAUAUCUGCCCUUGUCUGCCAACUGUUUUUUGUAAUUUUUGCAAUUGCCUUUUCUAGUUUUGUGUGUGUGUGUAUUUCUUCUCCCUGUUGCUGUGUGAAAGACCCACAGACAGAAUAGGCAACUGAAACAAAGGGCUAUCAAAUACACAGGAAACUGAGGAUAAAUGAACUAAAGAAUUUUUUUUUGUUAGGCCCUGAUCUUUAUAGGAUUGGACCCUAAGGUGGUGUUUGUAGUAGAGGCAAGUAAACAAUCUUUAGAGAAAAAUGUAACUUUAAAAAGACUCUGACAACUUCAAGGUUAGGGUUCAUGGCGCAUUCAUUUUGAAUUCGUAUUGAUUUGAUGAGUUCUUUGUAAAAGGUUAAUGUUUUUAUUCUCCAAAGAAAACAGAAUUCCAUAAUGUUUCACCAGACUAUUAAAUUGAGUGCUUGCCUUCCUAAAAGGAAGUGUUGAUUAAAAUGGAAGGAACAUAACUCAAGUUCCAUUCAUGAACUGACUAGCCAUCAGUCUAUUAGUUUUGAUUAGAACUGACAAGUUUCAGUUAAGAGGAGGAAAGAUAAGACUAGGAAAUAAAUAUUGUUAAUGUGACACAAACUCUCUAGAAUUAGAAUGCUGAAAUAGGUGAGAGAGUUUAUUCUCCCCGCAUGAUUAUUUGGGGAGGGUUCAUGUAGAAGUUGGAGGGAAAUGCAAAAUGUUGCUGCAAAAAAGUAUUGGCCUUUGAAAGCAAAGCUGUCUAAUAGUAGAUAUAUAAAUAUGCAAACUUUUAUAUUUCAGUACCCCAAAUCCCGCUGCCUGGUGGCCUUGAGUUUCAGUUGCCUAUCCAACUUUACUGGUCAUAAAUUGUAAACUUCUUCAGGAUAACCAUGGAAAACAUGAAGACAAAUUCUUAAUGAUUGAGCUGGUUCUGUAGCACCAGUUUAGGCACAUUCUUUUUGGUCCUGAAUCAUGUUAAGAACACAUGCUCAGCUUCCAACCACACUAACGCUUUCUGAACCAUUCUGUUUGCAGUGCCUUCUGAGUACUUUUCCCACAGUUCCUGACACAGCUGGCAGAAACAGUGAUUUUUGGGGUUACUUGAAAAGGCAACUGAUACAAUGUGUAACAGUAAUGGGAGGACUGGUUAAAUUUUUUCAGCUAGUCUUCACAUGUACUGGCACUAAAACAGUUCAGGCUGAAACAACCGAGGAUCAAAUGGUAAGGUGUUCAUGCUCACAAUAAACAUUCUCUGAAACUGAAAAAAGACUGUAGCAAAACCAGUAAAGUUCAGACUUCGGACACCCUUCAUGUUUCUAAAGUGGUAAAUUAGCAGUAUGGGGCACUUCUUUAAAAGGGAAAAAUACCUUUCAUGCCCACUUUAUACAUUAUAAAAAGAAAACAAACAUCUAUUUCACAUCAUACUUUUAUAAUAAGUGGAGAUUUUCAGACAGUACAGAAUUAAUUAAAAAUUGCAGGAGAACCCUAAGAUCAUGGAAUUCAUAACUGUCUUUGAUAUCAUGAUUUUUCUCCCUUAACCAGAUGUUUGGCAGUUUUACUUGUAGAUUUUUUUUUAGGAGUUCAGUCUUCUUGAGCAGCAGUUAUUCUUGCCCUGCUCCCUUGCCAUGCAGGGCAAAGGGAAUGAGCAUUUCUGUACUGGAAAAAGUGUCCAUAACUCUGCAUUGGUUAUAGUGGUAAUGGAUGGUUGUAGAAUACAUAGUGCUCUUGGAAGCUCUGCUGGUUUUUUACCACAGUCAUCUUAUUCUCUCUUCAAAGGAGUAAAAAGGCUUGAGCCCUGUCUAAAUUGGUUUCUACCAUGCAGCUUUAGUGAUGCCACUUAAAAAGUGCUAUCUACAAUACAAAACUUUUGCUUACCACUAUUUGAUUCCCCAGCACAUCUUUAGCACAUCUUGCAUGUAUUAAAAUGUUUCCUAUGGUAUGCAAGCGUUACAAUCACUGUAUAGAUUACCCUUUCUUGAAGAAAGGCUAGCCACUGUGCUAAUAUCUAUUGCAGUGAUCAUGUGGAUAGGGAUUGCUGGGGUAACAUCCCUCAAUUAUACAAGUAAUCCUCAUGCUUUGAUCUCACAGUGCAGCAUUCGCUACCCAGGUGACCUUCACUGCUCUACUUUCUGAAGUUUCUUGUGCAAGGUCAAAACUGGCAAUAAGUCACUUAGUUGUGCAAAUAGCUUCAUAUACAGAAUAGAACUCAAAUGUAUGUUAUUUCCAUGACUAUCAGUUUCUUCUACAACUUUGCUGAAAUCAUUUUUGUUCUGUCAGCAGAAUGUUUUGGAGGUGUCCAUCAUGUGACUAUAGUAUUAGCUACCUGAGGCUGAUGUGCAAACACUAAUGGCCAUAUAAAGAGAGAGAGCCCAGAUGAUCUUGGUCAUUCAUAAUAGUGUGAAACUGGGAGUCUGAGCGAUUAGUAGAGAUCGGCGUCACUAGAGGGGCAGGCAGUGCCAAGGAAAGGUAAAGGGAUUGAACAUCCUGUAUAAUGAGGCCUGAGCUAGUGGCACUAAGCCUGGUUCAGGGCAUAAAGUGUGCCACUUAUACAGUGAACUGGACACAUUCUUUGAGACUCAGCCUUCCAGAGCCACAAAAAUACUUCUGCAUAGCAGAAAGGUCCCGUGCAUUGCAUUGAUGUUGAUGGAGUCCUCUUCCAACUUGGACCACUGGAACAUGGAGCUGGUUCUGAAGAUGCCAGGCUUGUUGCUGACCUCAUAGGAUCUGUUUUGUAUGCAUGAAGGAUCCAGAUAUAGCAGCCAAGACAGAAUGGCAGGGCAAGGAAUCUGAAAACAGAGAGCUCUCAACACCAGUGGCCACGCCAGUAGGAUGGAUGUCCCAGAAGAGGCUUGGUGUCAUGCAGAACGGAUUCACAGUGGUGAAAUAUCUGACAGUUUACUGGUUCCAGGAACACAAAAUCAGGGCCACUUUGCAAUAUAGGGCAAAGCACAAUGAGGCAGGACUAUUUCGGGAA
Chelonoidis abingdonii (Abingdon island giant tortoise) is the source of this 4091-nucleotide non-coding RNA. The record is from RefSeq and is a predicted model, not a curated record. Lineage: Eukaryota; Metazoa; Chordata; Testudines; Testudinidae.